GACGUAGGGCGCGAGCGUUGUCCGGAUUUAUUGGGCGUAAAGAGCUCGUAGGCGGCUUGUUGCGUCGACUGUGAAAACCCGCGGCUUAACUGCGGGCUUGCAGUUGAUACGGGCAGGCUAGAGUUCGGUAGGGGAGACUGGAAUUCCUGGUGUAGCGGUGAAAUGCGCAGAUAUCAGGAGGAACACCCGUGGCGAAGGCGGCUCUCUGGGACGGUACUGACGCUGAGACGCGAAAGCGUGGGGAGCGAACAGG
Molecule: ribosomal RNA, 253 nt
Filed under: uncultured bacterium
Lineage: Bacteria
Description: partial 16S ribosomal RNA
Rfam family: Bacterial small subunit ribosomal RNA
Source: RNAcentral